Molecule: long non-coding RNA, 920 nt
Organism: Bos taurus (domestic cattle)
Lineage: Eukaryota; Metazoa; Chordata; Mammalia; Artiodactyla; Bovidae
Source: Ensembl
GCCCUCCACCGGAGGGGCGGGAGCGGAAGGGGCACGCGGAAAUGCCGGGGGAAGGGGGGCAGAGGUCGAAGGUCAGGAGGUAAGAGUACGGUGUAAGAGUAGUUGCUGAUUUCUCAUCGGUGCAGUCGAAUCCCCGAGGUACCGGGUCACGCUCCCUAAAAAAGUUUUGUCCUCGUUUCUACGUUUUUAGAAUUAAAGACAACGAGCUUCUCUCUGCGGCAGGGCAGCUGCCAACUUGACUUUAAAAGCCAGAGCUGCCAACGGACUUGGCUGCUCCGGACCCGAUCCACUGUGUGAAGGGUUGAAUUGGCCAAGCGCCGAGCUCUUAUCGCAUAUUUUGAAUGUGCCUCUGCCUCCCAUUAAGGAAGCCUAGUAAUAACUUUAAUCCACAAGAGAUGUUUCUAGGCAAAGGAAUUUUGCAUUCCGAGAAGACUCCUAGAGUUAAAUAAGAUCCAGAUUCUCAUCCUCGCCCCUACCUUUGGCAACAAUGGAUGAGGAAGCAGAGGGAAAACGGAAAGCAGUCAAAGAGGCUGGCAUCAUAAAACUGGAAGUCUUCUUAAGGAGUUACGUCACACCUCCCCACAAAGAAAAUUAAGGGGACACGGGUUUGAUCCUUGCUCGGGUAAGAUCCCACAAAGAUUCCACAUGCCACGGAGCAACGAAGCCAGUGCGCCGCAACUACUGAGCCUUCUCUCUAGAGCCCUCAAGUCACAACUACUGAGCCCGUGCACCACAACUAAUGAAGCCGGUGUGCCUGAGAGCCCAUGCUCUGAGAUGAGAAGCCCGUGCGCAAGGAAGAGUAGCCCCCGCUCAUUGCAACUGGAGAAAGCCCUGGUGCAGCAAUAAAGACAGAGCACAAACAAAUAAAAAAUAAAUUAUAAAAAAAUAUUCUAGAGAGAAAAUAAUAAACAGGUAAACAA